This 253-nucleotide ribosomal RNA is filed under the name uncultured bacterium. RNAcentral's name for it is "partial 16S ribosomal RNA". It matches the Rfam family "Bacterial small subunit ribosomal RNA", at positions 524 to 776 of the family's 1533-position model. The record is from RNAcentral.
GACAGAGGGUGCAAACGUUGUUCGGAAUUACUGGGCGUAAAGCGCGUGUAGGCUGCUCGGAUAGUCGGGUGUGAAAGCCCUGGGCUCAACCCAGGAAGUGCAUUCGAUACUGCCGAGCUUGAGUCCUGGAGAGGAAGGCGGAAUUCUCGGUGUAGAGGUGAAAUUCGUAGAUAUCGAGAGGAACACCGGUGGCGAAGGCGGCCUUCUGGACAGUGACUGACGCUGAGACGCGAAAGCGUGGGGAGCAAACAGG